CAAUAGCGUAUAUUAAAGUUGUUGCAGUUAAAAAGCUCGUAGUUGAAUGUCUGGGCGUCCGGGUCCCCAGUCUUUAGGCGGGGAUACCGGCGUUCAUCCGCUUGCAAGCAUACGUUCGCCCUUAAUCAGGCGGCUAUGUGAGUAAGCAUUUUACCUUGAGAAAAACAGAGUGUUCCAGGCAGGUUUGUCCGGGAUGCAUUAGCAUGGAAUAAUAGAACAUGACUGAAGUCAAGUUAUUGGUUGUAGACUUUAGUAAUGAUUAAUAGGAACAGUCGGGGGCAUUCGUACUCAGCAGUCAGAGGUGAAAUUCUAAGAUUUGCUGAAGACGAACUAAUGCGAAAGCAUUUGCCAAGGAUGUUUUCAUUAAUCAAGAACGAAAGUUAGGGGAUCAAAGACGAUCAGAUACCGU
This 409-nucleotide ribosomal RNA is filed under the name uncultured eukaryote. RNAcentral describes it as "SSU rRNA". It matches the Rfam family "Eukaryotic small subunit ribosomal RNA", at positions 592 to 1018 of the family's 1831-position model. The record is from RNAcentral.